This 63-nucleotide transfer RNA is filed under the name Margattea spinosa. RNAcentral describes it as "tRNA-His". The record is from RNAcentral. Lineage: Eukaryota; Metazoa; Arthropoda; Insecta; Blattodea; Pseudophyllodromiidae.
AUCUAAAUAGUUUAAUUAAAAUAUCGAUUUGUGAUGUCGGUGAUGUAUUGUGUACUUUAGGUU